This 27-nucleotide non-coding RNA is filed under the name Mus musculus (house mouse). Lineage: Eukaryota; Metazoa; Chordata; Mammalia; Rodentia; Muridae. The record is from RNAcentral.
UAAAAUUGCUACAACCCACACCCACUC